ACGCUCGACACCUACGGGAGGCAGCAGUGGGGAAUAUUGCACAAUGGGGGAAACCCUGAUGCAGCGAUGCCGCGUGAAGGAAGAAGUAUCUCGGUAUGUAAACUUCUAUCAGCAGGGAAGAAAAUGACGGUACCUGACUAAGAAGCCCCGGCUAACUACGUACCAGCAGCCGCGGUAAUCUGAGCGGGCUGGCAAGGC
Molecule: ribosomal RNA, 198 nt
Filed under: uncultured bacterium
Lineage: Bacteria
Description: partial 16S ribosomal RNA
Rfam family: Bacterial small subunit ribosomal RNA
Source: RNAcentral